UUAAGACCACAAAAUUAGUUUUCACUCUUGAAAUUUUCAGUACAUCAUUUCAACUGUUCAGGAAACAAAUUAAUACAGAAAACCACACAGAUUAAAAGCCAAAGAAAUAUCAGCUUUUCAAUCUUCACCUAGUUAAUCAGGGAAAAAAAAAGAUUACAUCUUUUUUCCUUUUAGAGAAAAAAUAUAAAAAUAUAAAUCUCAAACACUCCUGUACUAUCCGCAUCUCGUGCAUUUGUUUAGAGAGAUAUUGAGGAAGGUAAACGAAUGAAUUUACAGUGAUCAUAUCUGGUGGUAGACCUCAAAAUUUACUCCCGCUAGAUCUUCUGACAGAGACGUUAACGGAUAGCUACUGAAAUCUACUGAAUUCUGAGUGUGAAGCUGUCCUUCUUCCCAUGGACUCUGCCUCAAUUCCUCCAUCUUGAUUCCGUUCAUCGGAAACUGAAACACACAGUCUAUUUUGUUAUCGGCGUCCCACGAGAAAGCUGCAUUGUUCUCCACCAUACGGUUCAUCUGAUAUCCUGUAUAACUGCUUAUGUUUGAGCUGUUGCUGGAACUUUCUUUGGCCUCAUUCAAGAACAUAGAACUCAUUCUUGAAGCUGAAUUGUAGGAGAAAUCUGUGGCACUCAAGCUUCCAUUAUCGAAACUUGUUAAACUUGGCAUUGAAGUAAAUGAAAAGUUUGAGCUUCUUUCGAAAUGGUUUUGAUCAAAGGGUCUGAGAUUUGGGUGCUGUAGACCUGGAAUAUUACUUGAGUUAUACCCACAUGGCUCAAACCCUGCUGAGAAUUCAAAGUAGGAUAAGGGAUCAUAGACUUGCUUGUUCAUGAAUUGCUCUCUUGAAGUUUCUGUUAAUCCAUUGCCAUAGUAAGUCGUAUCGUUAAUGAGAAAUGUUGGCUCCUGUAUUGUCGUGUUUGAUACAACUGGUAGCCCUUUGGAAGGCGGUAUUUGCAAGGAUGCCUUAUCUUUACAAUUCUUCUCCUCUUUCACUUGCAGUGCUUCACUUAUUGGCUUGUGGGUUGCUGGGUCUAGACCUUGCUUCAUGAGCUUCUUCUUCAAGCAAGAAUUCCAGAAGUUCUUUAUCUCAUUAUCUGUUCUUCCUGGUAACUCUGCUGCAAUUUGAGCCCACCUGUUACCCAAAACUUCAUGAAGACUGAUUACAAGAUCCUCCUCCUGUUGUGAGAACAUUCCUCUCUUAAGGUCAGGUCUCAAGUAGUUGAUCCAUCUGAGUCUACAACUCUUUCCACACCUUUGCAGGCCAGCUAGCUUAGGAACAGAACUCCAGCAACCAACACCAAAUCUAGUUAUGUAGUUGUAAAGUUUCUCAUCUUCUUCAGGUGACCAUAAACCUUUCCUUAAUUUCUGCUUUAAGCAGCAAGAAUGUCUUCCCAUUUCUUGCGCACAACCCACUGAGAAGGAAGGUCUCCGGAUGAUUUGAACAUAUAUUUUAUAUAUAUAUAUAGAGAGAGA
RNAcentral lists this unclassified non-coding RNA (1464 nucleotides) under Hevea brasiliensis (rubber tree). The record is from RNAcentral. Lineage: Eukaryota; Viridiplantae; Streptophyta; Magnoliopsida; Malpighiales; Euphorbiaceae.